UUUUUUUCUGUAAGAGGUUUUGAGUUGAUUCUUUUUGCUUCUGAUUUCUACGCAAAGUAUUCAGACUUUCAUAAUGUUUCAGAAUUUGUGGAGUACCAUAAGUAUACGAAAUAUACAGAUCGCUACAGACUGGUCUGCUGUUAACAGAUUCUGUUUUUGUUGGUUUGGUUGCUUAUUUUGAUGAAACUAUGGAUAGUAUCGGGGGGUAUUAGCCAUGGAAGAUUGAAAAUACAGUAACCCAACAUCAGC
Molecule: long non-coding RNA, 249 nt
Filed under: Hordeum vulgare
Lineage: Eukaryota; Viridiplantae; Streptophyta; Magnoliopsida; Poales; Poaceae
Description: long non-coding RNA (HVUL_LNC006740)
Source: RNAcentral